UACGUAGGGGGCGAGCGUUAUCCGGAAUUAUUGGGCGUAAAGGGCGCGUAGGCGGCAUGAUAAGUUAUUGGCGGCAAAUCGAGGCUCAACCUCGUGGAAACUGAUAAUACUGUUUUGCUUGAGUACAGAAGAGGUUAACGGAACUCCAUGUGGAGCGGUAAAAUGUGUAGAUAUAUGGAAGAACAUCAAUAACGGCGAAGGCAGUUAACUAUGCUGUUACUGACGUUGAGGCACGAAAGCGUGGGGAGCAAAAAGG
Molecule: ribosomal RNA, 256 nt
Filed under: uncultured bacterium
Lineage: Bacteria
Description: partial 16S ribosomal RNA
Rfam family: Bacterial small subunit ribosomal RNA
Source: RNAcentral